This 330-nucleotide ribosomal RNA is filed under the name uncultured eukaryote. RNAcentral describes it as "partial 18S ribosomal RNA". It matches the Rfam family "Eukaryotic small subunit ribosomal RNA", at positions 1470 to 1796 of the family's 1831-position model. The record is from RNAcentral.
CCCUUAGAUGUCCGGGGCCGCACGCGUGCUACACUGCUGGAUUCAACGAGUUUAUUUUCCUUGGCCGGAAGGUCUGGGUAAUCUUUGAACAUCCAGCGUGAUGGGGCUAGAUUAUUGCAAUUAUUAAUCUUAAACGAGGAAUUCCUAGUAUAGGCAAGUCAUCAGCUUGCCUAGAUUACGUCCCUGCCCUUUGUACACACCGCCCGUCGCUCCUACCGAUGAAUGAUCCGGUGAAAUCUCCGGAGGGUGGCGCGGGGGAGGUUCGCCUCAUCCUGCAUUCGCCCAAAGUUGCUUAAACCUUAUCAUUUAGAGGAAGGAGAANUCGUAACA